UAAAAUAGCGCCAGAACUUAAUUUUUAAGUUGACGAGGAUUGGAAUUAUCGAAAAUUCGGCGGAUAUUCCAAAGGUGGUUACAACCAUUAUCUACAAAAAAGCAAAGUAAUUUGCCCGACAAAAAGAUA
This 129-nucleotide non-coding RNA is filed under the name Fusobacterium massiliense. RNAcentral describes it as "glmS glucosamine-6-phosphate activated ribozyme". It matches the Rfam family "glmS glucosamine-6-phosphate activated ribozyme aptamer", at positions 6 to 154 of the family's 167-position model. Rfam says of the family: This entry contains a glucosamine-6-phosphate activated ribozyme that is found in the mRNA for GlmS. GlmS is an enzyme that uses fructose-6-phosphate and glutamine to generate glucosamine-6-phosphate. The ribozyme catalyses self cleavage of the glmS mRNA that is thought to regulate GlmS activity. The record is from RNAcentral. Lineage: Bacteria; Fusobacteriati; Fusobacteriota; Fusobacteriia; Fusobacteriales; Fusobacteriaceae.